ACUUUUUUAGUAUAUUAUUAUAUUUGACUUCCAAUCAAAAGAUCUCACUGAGAAAAAGUA
RNAcentral lists this transfer RNA (60 nucleotides) under Roburocoris exiguus. Its description in RNAcentral is "tRNA-Gly". Lineage: Eukaryota; Metazoa; Arthropoda; Insecta; Hemiptera; Miridae. The record is from RNAcentral.